UACAGAGGUCUCAAGCGUUGUUCGGAUUCAUUGGGCGUAAAGGGUGCGUAGGCGGCGCGGUAAGUCGGGUGUGAAAUCUCGGAGCUUAACUCCGAAACUGCAUUUGAUACUGCCGUGCUUGAGGACUGGAGAGGAGACUGGAAUUUACGGUGUAGCGGUGAAAUGCGUAGAUAUCGUAAGGAAGACCAGUGGCGAAGGCGGGUCUCUGGACAGUUCCUGACGCUGAGGCACGAAGGUCAGGGGAGCAAACGGG
Molecule: ribosomal RNA, 253 nt
Filed under: uncultured bacterium
Lineage: Bacteria
Description: partial 16S ribosomal RNA
Rfam family: Bacterial small subunit ribosomal RNA
Source: RNAcentral